GGAAGUAAAAGUCGUAACAAGAUUUCCGUAGGUGAACCUGCGGAAGGAUCAUUAUUGUAUAACCGAGGUGCGAGGGCUGUCGCUGACCCGAAAGGUCGUGCACGCCCGAGUGCCCUCACACACAUCCAUCUCACCCCUAUGUGCACCACCGCGUGGGUCCCCCUUUGGCUUGUUCGGAGGGGGGCUUACGUUUUCACACAAACUUUGUAUGCAGUGUAGAAUGUAUUUUUCGUUUUUGCGAUCACGCAAUCAAUACAACUUUCAACAACGGAUCUCUUGGCUCUC
Molecule: unclassified non-coding RNA, 285 nt
Filed under: plant metagenome
Description: partial contains small subunit ribosomal RNA, internal transcribed spacer 1, and 5.8S ribosomal RNA
Rfam family: Eukaryotic small subunit ribosomal RNA (bases 1-54)
Source: RNAcentral